This 203-nucleotide unclassified non-coding RNA is filed under the name Hevea brasiliensis (rubber tree). The record is from RNAcentral. Lineage: Eukaryota; Viridiplantae; Streptophyta; Magnoliopsida; Malpighiales; Euphorbiaceae.
CGGGCUGAUGCCGUACCUGGUGCGCAGGGCCUGCCAGGCGGCGUCGAUGUCGGCAUAGAGGUUCCUCUCGGAAGGCCUGCCCGAGCUGGCACCGUAGCCGGAGUAGUCGUAGGAGAAGAUGUUGCAGUUGAUGCGGGAGCCGAGGCCAAUGUAGAAGCUGCACAUCUGGCCCAGGUCCACGGCGUUGCCGUGCGAGAAGAGCA